Molecule: ribosomal RNA, 500 nt
Filed under: uncultured bacterium
Lineage: Bacteria
Description: partial 16S ribosomal RNA
Rfam family: Bacterial small subunit ribosomal RNA
Source: RNAcentral
AUUGAACGCUGGCGGCAUGCCUUACACAUGCAAGUCGAACGGCAGCACGGGAGCAAUCCUGGUGGCGAGUGGCGAACGGGUGAGUAAAGUAUCGGAACGUGCCCAGUCGUGGGGGAUAACGUAGCGAAAGUUACGCUAAUACCGCAUACGAUCUAUGGAUGAAAGCGGGGGAUCGCAAGACCUCGCGCGAUUGGAGCGGCCGAUAUCAGAUUAGGUAGUUGGUGGGGUAAAGGCUCACCAAGCCGACGAUCUGUAGCUGGUCUGAGAGGACGACCAGCCACACUGGGACUGAGACACGGCCUAGACUCCUACGGGAGGCAGCAGUGGGGAAUUUUGGACAAUGGGCGAAAGCCUGAUCCAGCCAUGCCGCAUGCAGGAUGAAGGCCUUCGGGUUGUAAACUGCUUUUGUACGGAACGAAAAGGUUUGGCCUAAUAAGCUGAGCUCAUGACGGUACCGUAAGAAUAAGCACCGGCUAACUACGUGCCAGCAGCCGCGGUAA